GAUGAAGAACGUAGCGAAAUGCGAUAAGUAAUGUGAAUUGCAGAAUUCAGUGAAUCAUCGAAUCUUUGAACGCACAUUGCGCCCUCUGGUAUUCCGGGGGGCAUGCCUGUUCGAGCGUCAUUAUAACCACUCAAGCUCUCGCUUGGUAUUGGGGUUCGCGGUUCCGCGGCCCCUAAAAUCAGUGGCGGUGCCUGUCGGCUCUACGCGUAGUAAUACUCCUCGCGAUUGAGUCCGGUAGGUCUACUUGCCAGCAACCCCCAAUUUUUACAGGUUGACCUCGGAUCAGGUAGGGAUACCCGCUGAACUUAAGCAUAUCAAUAAGCGCAGGA
This 329-nucleotide unclassified non-coding RNA is filed under the name soil metagenome. RNAcentral describes it as "partial contains 5.8S ribosomal RNA, internal transcribed spacer 2, and large subunit ribosomal RNA". The stretch from base 1 to 120 matches the Rfam family "5.8S ribosomal RNA", at positions 35 to 154 of the family's 154-position model. The record is from RNAcentral.